AAACGACUCUCGGCAACGGAUAUCUUGGGUCUCGCAUCGAUGAAGAACGCAGCAAAAUGCGAUACUUGGUGUGAAUUGCAGAAUCCCGUGAACCAUCGAGUUUUUGAACGCAAGUUGCGCCCGAAGCCAUUAUGCUGAGGGCACGUCUGCCUGGGCGUCACGC
This 163-nucleotide ribosomal RNA is filed under the name Osmanthus delavayi. RNAcentral describes it as "5.8S ribosomal RNA". It matches the Rfam family "5.8S ribosomal RNA". Rfam says of the family: 5.8S ribosomal RNA (5.8S rRNA) is a component of the large subunit of the eukaryotic ribosome. It is transcribed by RNA polymerase I as part of the 45S precursor that also contains 18S and 28S rRNA. The record is from RNAcentral. Lineage: Eukaryota; Viridiplantae; Streptophyta; Magnoliopsida; Lamiales; Oleaceae.